AGGAUAUUGAAGAAUAAGAUCCAAGCAUUCUGCCCUGGCCAGAUGGGUCAACUGGGGAUAUGAUAGAAAUAUUUUGGACACCAAAAGGGGUGAAUUUUACUCUAGUCUAGGAGUAGGUCACCAAGGACCUCCUGGAGUCAAAGCAGAAGAAGAGCACAGUGGGAAGCGAGUGUUACUGAUUCAGAGCUAGGUAACACUCCUGUACAGGAACUGCAAACACAGGAACCACAUGCCAGUGCCUAGGCCUGAGCAGGAUGGCCUCUACCCUGUGAAAUUGCUUACUUAUGUAAUGAAGAGAAGACAAUCUCUAAUCAAGACUUCAACAAUAAAAGAGUAGAUUUAAUUUGAAAGCCCAAGGAGUUCAGAUUCAUUCAUUUCAGCUAUGUGCUGAGGGUCUGUUAAAUCAGAACAUGCUUGGGUGCUGUAUAAAAAAAUCUAUACCGGUUAUCAGAAGAUGUGAUAUGAUGUUCCAGUUAAUGAGUUUGUA
Long non-coding RNA from Myotis brandtii (Brandt's bat), 487 nucleotides. RefSeq lists it as uncharacterized. The record is from RefSeq and is a predicted model, not a curated record. NCBI's taxonomy places the organism in Eukaryota, Metazoa, Chordata, Mammalia, Chiroptera, Vespertilionidae. The transcript is spliced from 4 exons.